Molecule: ribosomal RNA, 253 nt
Filed under: uncultured bacterium
Lineage: Bacteria
Description: partial 16S ribosomal RNA
Rfam family: Bacterial small subunit ribosomal RNA
Source: RNAcentral
GACGUAGGGUGCGAGCGUUGUCCGGAAUUAUUGGGCGUAAAGAGCUCGUAGGCGGUUUGUCGCGUCGGCCGUGAAAACUUGGGGCUUAACUCCAAGCUUGCGGUCGAUACGGGCAGACUUGAGUUCGGCAGGGGAGACUGGAAUUCCUGGUGUAGCGGUGAAAUGCGCAGAUAUCAGGAGGAACACCGGUGGCGAAGGCGGUUCUCUGGGCAUUACCUGACGCUGAGGAGCGAAAGUGUGGGGAGCGAACAGG